GAUGAACGCUGGCGGCGUGCCUAAUACAUGCAAGUCGAGCGAACAGAUGAGGAGCUUGCUCCUCUGACGUUAGCGGCGGACGGGUGAGUAACACGUGGAUAACCUACCUAUAAGACUGGGAUAACUUCGGGAAACCGGAGCUAAUACCGGAUAAUAUAUUGAACCGCAUGGUUCAAUAGUGAAAGACGGUUUUGCUGUCACUUAUAGAUGGAUCCGCGCCGCAUUAGCUAGUUGGUAAGGUAACGGCUUACCAAGGCGACGAUGCGUAGCCGACCUGAGAGGGUGAUCGGCCACACUGGAACUGAGACACGGUCCAGACUCCUACGGGAGGCAGAAGUAGGGAAUCUUCCGCAAUGGGCGAAAGCCUGACGGAGCAACGCCGCGUGAGUGAUGAAGGUAUUCGGAUCGUAAAACUCUGUUAUUAGGGAAGAACAAAUGUGUAAGUAACUAUGCACGUCUUGACGGUACCUAAUCAGAAAGCCACGGCUAACUACGUG
This 497-nucleotide ribosomal RNA is filed under the name uncultured bacterium. RNAcentral's name for it is "partial 16S ribosomal RNA". It matches the Rfam family "Bacterial small subunit ribosomal RNA", at positions 28 to 507 of the family's 1533-position model. The record is from RNAcentral.